GGGCCUGCGCAGCUACACAUGCAGUCGAGCGGUAGCACAGAGAGCUUGCUCUCGGGUGACGAGCGGCGGACGGGUGAGUAAUGUCUGGGAAACUGCCUGAUGGAGGGGGAUAACUACUGGAAACGGUAGCUAAUACCGCAUAACGUCGCAAGACCAAAGUGGGGGACCUUCGGGCCUCAUGCCAUCAGAUGUGCCCAGAUGGGAUUAGCUGGUAGGUGGGGUAACGGCUCACCUAGGCGACGAUCCCUAGCUGGUCUGAGAGGAUGACCAGCCACACUGGAACUGAGACACGGUCCAGACUCCUACGGGAGGCAGCAGUGGGGAAUAUUGCACAAUGGGCGCAAGCCUGAUGCAGCCAUGCCGCGUGUGUGAAGAAGGCCUUCGGGUUGUAAAGCACUUUCAGCGGGGAGGAAGGCGGUGAGGUUAAUAACCUCACCGAUUGACGUUACCCGCAGAAGAAGCACCGGCUAACUCCGUGCCAGCAGCCGCGGUAAUACGGAGGGUGCAAGCGUUAAUCGGAAUUACUGGGCGUAAAGCGCACGCAGGCGGUCUGUCAAGUCGGAUGUGAAAUCCCCGGGCUCAACCUGGGAACUGCAUUCGAAACUGGCAGGCUAGAGUCUUGUAGAGGGGGGUAGAAUUCCAGGUGUAGCGGUGAAAUGCGUAGAGAUCUGGAGGAAUACCGGUGGCGAAGGCGGCCCCCUGGACAAAGACUGACGCUCAGGUGCGAAAGCGUGGGGAGCAAACAGGAUUAGAUACCCUGGUAGUCCACGCUGUAAACGAUGUCGAUUUGGAGGUUGUGCCCUUGAGGCGUGGCUUCCGGAGCUAACGCGUUAAAUCGACCGCCUGGGGAGUACGGCCGCAAGGUUAAAACUCAAAUGAAUUGACGGGGGCCCGCACAAGCGGUGGAGCAUGUGGUUUAAUUCGAUGCAACGCGAAGAACCUUACCUGGUCUUGACAUCCACAGAACUUUCCAGAGAUGGAUUGGUGCCUUCGGGAACUGUGAGACAGGUGCUGCAUGGCUGUCGUCAGCUCGUGUUGUGAAAUGUUGGGUUAAGUCCCGCAACGAGCGCAACCCUUAUCCUUUGUUGCCAGCGGUUAGGCCGGGAACUCAAAGGAGACUGCCAGUGAUAAACUGGAGGAAGGUGGGGAUGACGUCAAGUCAUCAUGGCCCUUACGACCAGGGCUACACACGUGCUACAAUGGCAUAUACAAAGAGAAGCGACCUCGCGAGAGCAAGCGGACCUCAUAAAGUAUGUCGUAGUCCGGAUUGGAGUCUGCAACUCGACUCCAUGAAGUCGGAAUCGCUAGUAAUCGUAGAUCAGAAUGCUACGGUGAAUACGUUCCCGGGCCUUGUACACACCGCCCGUCACACCAUGGGAGUGGGUUGCAAAAGAAGUAGGUAGCUUAACCUUCGGGAGGGCGCUACCACUUGGAUCAGUCG
Molecule: ribosomal RNA, 1441 nt
Filed under: Klebsiella variicola
Lineage: Bacteria; Pseudomonadati; Pseudomonadota; Gammaproteobacteria; Enterobacterales; Enterobacteriaceae
Description: bacterial SSU rRNA
Rfam family: Bacterial small subunit ribosomal RNA
Source: RNAcentral